CUUCCAACUCCAUCCAUGUUGCUGCAAAAGGUUGGCAUCCAGACACCGACAGAAGAUUUCUGGUGUGUUGUGUUCCUUGGCCAUCAACUGCUGCUAAUGUCACACUUGUGCCUUGUUCUUUGUUGAUCCUGUAUUCACUGUAUUUGAUAAGACAGUGACAGAGCUGUUUACAGUAGCAAGGACAUGGAAAUGAAUGAAGUGCCCAUUGAUAGAGACUGAAUCAAG
Condylura cristata (star-nosed mole) is the source of this 225-nucleotide long non-coding RNA. RefSeq lists it as uncharacterized. Lineage: Eukaryota; Metazoa; Chordata; Mammalia; Eulipotyphla; Talpidae. The record is from RefSeq and is a predicted model, not a curated record. The transcript has 3 exons.